Molecule: ribosomal RNA, 422 nt
Filed under: uncultured bacterium
Lineage: Bacteria
Description: bacterial SSU rRNA
Rfam family: Bacterial small subunit ribosomal RNA
Source: RNAcentral
GGAAUCUUGCGCAAUGGGCGAAAGCCUGACGCAGCGACGCCGCGUGAGUGAUGAAGGCCUUCGGGUUGUAAAGCUCUGUGGGGAGAGACGAAUAAGUGCAAGCUAAUACCUUGCAUGAUGACGGUAUCUCCUUAGCAAGCACCGGCUAACUCUGUGCCAGCAGCCGCGGUAAUACAGAGGGUGCAAACGUUGCUCGGAAUUAUUGGGCGUAAAGCGCACGUAGGCGGCAUGGUAAGUUGGAUGUGAAAACCCUGGGCUCAACCCUGGAAGUGCAUCCAAGACUGUCACGCUAGAGUGUCGGAGGGGGUCGGAGAAUUCCCGGUGUAGAGGUGAAAUUCGUAGAUAUCGGGAGGAACAUCUGUGGCGAAGGCGCCGACCUGGACGACAACUGACGCUGAGGUGCGAAAGCAUGGGGAGCAAAC